Molecule: RNA transcript, 1761 nt
Organism: Gallus gallus (chicken)
Lineage: Eukaryota; Metazoa; Chordata; Aves; Galliformes; Phasianidae
Gene: LRRC25
Gene name: leucine rich repeat containing 25
Exons: 2
Source: RefSeq, a predicted model, not a curated record
GGUGCCGGAGGACGGCGGGCGCUGCGGGGUGGGGGGAAGCAGGAGCCCCCCGCGGCCCAUGGGCAGCCCCGCUAUGUCAGCCGGGAGGCAGAGAGCAGUCCUGCUGCCGUGGGGGUGUGCCUGGCGCCCGACUACGAGAACGUCUUCGUCGGCUCCUGCGCGGCCCCCGGCGCGGCCCCGGUGCAGAAUGGGGAGCGUGGGUGGCAGCAGGAGGGGUACAGCCCCCAGGCACCGCCGGACGAUCUCUAUUUCCUGGAGAGCGACGCAGGGGAGCAGCCCAUCUACGCCAACACCGGGACCCCCGGAGAGGACAUCUACGUCACCCCCGACCCAUGAGGGCGGCGCGCCGGGGGGGUUCCUGCAGCGCUGGGACUGCGGAGGGGAUUUUCCUCUUUUUUUUUUUUUCUUUUCUUUUUUUUUUUCUGCAAUGAGAGCAAAACGGCUGCGCGGCCGUUUCCUGCGCGGGGCUGAGAGCGGAAGCGGCCGCUUCUCCAUGGGGUUCGCACUGCGAAACGGGGCCGGGGCGGCGGGGCACGGCGGCCCCCACGGGUCGCUCCGGAGCUCCGCGUGACGCCGGGACCGACGGCGCCGCCCUCUGCGAAACCCGACGGUUUGGGGCGAAAAGCGCCGUUUUGGGGCGCUCCUGGCAAUGUGCGGCUGCGAGGAGGCGGCUCCGGGAUGUGUGUGGGUGGUGGUACGGGGACAGCCCCCGUCCCAGCCUCGUCCUUGCGAUGCUCCGCGGUGACAUUAAAUGCUGGGCUGUCCUCGGUGACCCAGAGGGCUCGCGGUCCGUCGGAACCCCCGGAGGGGCUCUGUGGGGUGCUGGGGGGGUCCUAUUCCCAGAGCAGAGGUGCUGAUAAUGUGGGUCCCACACUGGCAGGUUCCUAUUUCCCAGUCCCCUAAGCCCACGUCCCCACCAUGGUGACCCCAUGUCCCACAUCCAUUGAGCUGUGGUCCCCAGAGCCCACAGCCCCGGGCUGGAGCCCCCCCUGUCCCACAUCCCCGUGUCCCCACGUUCCAUAUCUCAGUGUCCCCACAUUCCCACACGUCCCACUUCCCCACGUCCACCACUUCCAAAUCCCCGUGUCCCAAUGUCUCCAUGUCUCAUGUCCCACAUCCCCAUGUCCCUGUGUCUCUGUAUCUCAUAUCUCAUCCCUGUCCCAUGUCCCCCAUUCCCAUGCCCCGUAUUCUCAUAUGUCACAUCCUCAUGUCCCCAUCCCCCUGUCCCACGCCCCCCUGUCGCAUAUCCCCAAGUAUCAUGUCCCCCAUUCCCCAUAUCCCCAAGUAUCAUGUCCCCAUGUCCCCCCAUCCUAUGUCUCGUGUCCCCAUCCCCCUGCCCCAUGUCCCCCCGUCCCGUGUCUCCAUGCCCCCCAUGUCCCAUAUCCUCACGUCCCCAUCCCUCUGCCCCACAUCCCCAUCUCACGUCCCACAUCCCCUGGCUGUGGGUACUGAUAGCUGACAGUGCCACAUCCCCGCUGUGCUCAGGGCUGUCCCAGCGCCCACCCCAAGGACACAAUGGGGCAAAGUGCUGCUGGAGCACUGCCCACAUAUGACUCACCUGUGGGUGAUGGAUGGGGAUGGGGGGGGGACGUGGCCGCAUGGGGCAGAGCUGCUGGCAUUGCGUUCCCAUCACUUUAUUCAUUUACAUCUCCAUUUGAUUUGUAGAAAUAUAUAAAUAUACAAAAAGAAAAAAAAAAGAAUCCCAACAAAGCCGUACAAUGCAAUAAAUAGUGAGUAAUAAAUAAAGGACUGUAUAAAAAA